UACAGAGGGUGCGAGCGUUAAUCGGAUUUACUGGGCGUAAAGCGUACGUAGGCGGCUUUUUAAGUCGGAUGUGAAAUCCCUGAGCUUAACUUAGGAAUUGCAUUCGAUACUGGGAAGCUAGAGUAUGGGAGAGGAUGGUAGAAUUCCAGGUGUAGCGGUGAAAUGCGUAGAGAUAUGGAGGAAUACCGGUGGCGAAGGCGGCCCCCUGGACAAAGACUGACGCUCAGGUGCGAAAGCGUGGGGAGCAAACAGG
Molecule: ribosomal RNA, 253 nt
Filed under: uncultured Acinetobacter sp.
Lineage: Bacteria; Pseudomonadati; Pseudomonadota; Gammaproteobacteria; Moraxellales; Moraxellaceae
Description: partial 16S ribosomal RNA
Rfam family: Bacterial small subunit ribosomal RNA
Source: RNAcentral